This 372-nucleotide ribosomal RNA is filed under the name uncultured organism. Its description in RNAcentral is "partial 16S ribosomal RNA". It matches the Rfam family "Bacterial small subunit ribosomal RNA", at positions 527 to 896 of the family's 1533-position model. The record is from RNAcentral.
GAACUGUGCAAACGUUAUUCGGGAAUCACUGGGCUUAAAGGGUGCGCAGGCGGCUUGAUAAGUAGGAUGUGAAAUCUCCCGGGCCCAACCGGGGAACUGCGUUCUAAACUGUCAGGCUUGAGUGAGAUAGGGGUGUGCGGAACUUCCAGUGGAGCGGUGAAAUGUGUUGAUAUUGGAAGGAACACCGGUAGCGAAAGCGGCACACUGGGUCUCUACUGACGCUCAUGCACGAAAGCCAGGGUAGCGAACGGGAUUAGAUACCCCGGUAGUCCUGGCUGUAAACGAUGAGCACUAGACGGGAGGGGUUUCGGCCCAUCCGGUCACAGCGAAAGCACUAAGUGCUCCGCCUGGGGAGUAUGGUCGCAAAGGCUG